This is a non-coding RNA of Acanthosepion pharaonis, 108 nucleotides long. Lineage: Eukaryota; Metazoa; Mollusca; Cephalopoda; Sepiida; Sepiidae. The record is from the annotation of a GenBank genome assembly.
UUACAACCAUAUCAUGCUGAAAACACUGGUUCUUGUAUGAUCACCGGAGUUAAGCAACAUUGAGCCUGGUAAGAACCUAGAUAGGUGACCACUUGGGAAUAUCAUGUG